RNAcentral lists this transfer RNA (69 nucleotides) under Ictidomys tridecemlineatus (thirteen-lined ground squirrel). RNAcentral's name for it is "Spermophilus tridecemlineatus (thirteen-lined ground squirrel) tRNA". It matches the Rfam family "tRNA". From Rfam's summary of the family: Transfer RNA (tRNA) molecules are approximately 80 nucleotides in length. Their secondary structure includes four short double-helical elements and three loops (D, anti-codon, and T loops). Further hydrogen bonds mediate the characteristic L-shaped molecular structure. tRNAs have two regions of fundamental functional importance: the anti-codon, which is responsible for specific mRNA codon recognition, and the 3' end, to which the tRNAs corresponding amino acid is attached (by aminoacyl-tRNA synthetases). tRNAs cope with the degeneracy of the genetic code in two manners: having more than one tRNA (with a specific anti-codon) for a particular amino acid; and 'wobble' base-pairing, i.e. permitting non-standard base-pairing at the 3rd anti-codon position. Lineage: Eukaryota; Metazoa; Chordata; Mammalia; Rodentia; Sciuridae. The record is from Rfam by way of RNAcentral.
GGGGCUGUGGCUCAGUGGUAGAGCACUUGCCUAGCACGUGUGAGGCACUGGGUUCGAUCCUCAGCACCA